This is a long non-coding RNA of Clupea harengus (Atlantic herring), 1184 nucleotides long. NCBI's taxonomy places the organism in Eukaryota, Metazoa, Chordata, Actinopteri, Clupeiformes, Clupeidae. The record is from Ensembl.
GGGAAAUCAGUAAAGUGAAUUAGGCAGUAAAAUAUAGAUUUAAACUAAACUAUGACUAUAAUGUGCGCACGGAACUUUCUUGGAGAAAUAAGCUUUCUGUGUGCAAGGAGAAAUUACAGGAUUUGUUAUUUCUGUCACGUAACAAAACUCAUCAUGUUGCAGAUAUAUUAUUGUUCCGUCUUUUUCAACUGGUUUUAUAUGAUGGCCCAAGCAGCCCCGAAGUGCAGAAUAGUGCAUGAUUUGAAGGCUUUUUUGAAGAGGCUUUGCUGGGCAAAAGUGCCUGGCUGAAGUCCAUGUGUUGCUCUUCAGAUGGCCUCAAUGAGGCUGUAAUAUGUGGCAGUAGAUGGAUUAUUACUGGAGCACUUUAGGAGGAGACUGUCACCUAUGCAAUCUUUGUGAUGUAAACCGUUGUUUUUUUGUUUUUAAAUUUGAACCAAAUGGUCUUAUUAAUGUGUGCAGUAUGUUACACCUGUUGGGCUUUUUCUUUCUUUUCAUGUAAUAAUGAUCCAUAUAUACAUUUAGGACAGUUGCAGUUUUUGUUAUGACCAAGCUCCAUUAACAGUUCAGUAAGUAGCUUAAAUACAUAAGCAAAUUGUUCUCAAAUGGCAAAUGUCCAUUGUAGUGAAUUACCUGCACAACAGGGGUUCAUUAAUGAGAAGUGUGCCUUGGAGGUAAAGAGGAUAAAACUAUAUAGUGACGUAAGUGUUUGUGUAUGCUACCCCCUUGUGGCUAUUUUGAGUCACUACAGUUGUGGCAGAGGUCUUUUUUUUUUUUAACCCGCACUCUCUCUUCCUCAGCUGUCUCUGGGCCCGGUUCCCAGUCUUUUAAAAGGGGUAUUGGGGAAAGGGGGGUUGAUUUCAUGGCAUAUGAUUGUUUAGUCUCAGUUCCUAAGGGGUUCUACCCUCUCUUUCAAGUCUUUCUCGUGUGUCGAUGCAGUGUGAAGCACAGCAGUUGUGAAAAGAUUAUACAUGCACAAGCAUGAGGCCAUGACAUCAGAUGUCCUGAAAAUUACACCUAAAUUCACCUCUGAUUAUAGUGAUACGUAACAACAGAAUCUAUCCAAGUACUGCAGGAUUAGAUUUAAAUGAUAAUUAGUAUUUGUGAAUAUUUUAUACAGCUUGCAGUUACAACCAGGGGAACCUGAAAUAUGAGCUCGACAUUGGAACAGUUAACAUCUGUUCCAG